Molecule: ribosomal RNA, 803 nt
Filed under: uncultured bacterium
Lineage: Bacteria
Description: bacterial SSU rRNA
Rfam family: Bacterial small subunit ribosomal RNA
Source: RNAcentral
AGAGUUUGAUCCUGGCUCAGGAUGAACGCUGGCGGCGUGCCUAACACAUGCAAGUCGAACGGGGCGCGCCGGCGGGGGCCCUCCGGGGCUGAAGCCGGCGCCGCCCAGUGGCGGACGGGUGAGUAACGCGUGGGCAACCUGCCCCGCACUGGGGGACAACAGCCGGAAACGGCUGCUAAUACCGCAUGGGCGCACAGCCCCGCAUGGGGCGGUGCGGAAAGCCUUGGCGGUGCGGGAUGGGCCCGCGUCUGAUUAGCUUGUUGGCGGGGCAACGGCCCACCAAGGCGACGAUCAGUAGCCGGCCUGAGAGGGUGGGCGGCCACAUUGGGACUGAGACACGGCCCAAACUCCUACGGGAGGCAGCAGUGGGGGAUAUUGCACAAUGGGGGGAACCCUGAUGCAGCGACGCCGCGUGGGCGAUGGAGCGCCUCGGCGCGUAAAGCCCUAUCAGCAGGGAAGAAAAUGACGGUACCUGACUAAGAAGCCCCGGCUAAAUACGUGCCAGCAGCCGCGGUAAUACGUAUGGGGCAAGCGUUAUCCGGAUUUACUGGGUGUAAAGGGAGCGCAGGCGGCCUGGCAAGCCUGAUGUGAAAAUCCGGGGCCCAACCCCGGGGCUGCAUUGGGAACUGCCAGGCUGGAGUGCCGGAGAGGCAGGCGGAAUUCCUAGUGUAGCGGUGAAAUGCGUAGAUAUCAGGAGGAACACCAGUGGCGAAGGCGGCUUGCUGGACGAUGACUGACGUUGAGGCUCGAAAGCGUGGGGAGCAAACAAAAUUAGAUACCCUGGUAGUCCACGCCGUAAACGA